RNAcentral lists this long non-coding RNA (817 nucleotides) under Marmota monax (woodchuck). The record is from RNAcentral. Lineage: Eukaryota; Metazoa; Chordata; Mammalia; Rodentia; Sciuridae.
UGGCCUUUGGUAAGCAGAUAGGAAGAAGACAGGAAAAGCACACUCUAAGCAUGACAUUCUGAGGUGCCAUGGUCUUCAAUUCUUAGGCAGCCACAGCCACAGAUGCACCAGGUACAUACAUUCACUGUUUAUCUGUCCACUUGGUUGCCCUGGAGGCACUUUGCAAAUUUGAUUCCAAGACCCAAAGUUUCCAUUUUCUUUCCAUUUUCAAUACCAAAUAUCCUCUGGUAGCAAGAAGGCUUUCUUUUCUCCAAGUUCUCUAAGAAAAUCCACCACCUUCUUGGACAAUUUAGUGUCAGUCUCUCAGUGCAACUGAAAUCUAGUGGCACUCCUUUCUGCUACAGGAUUAGAACAUGCACAUCUUUACAAAUCAUGGCUCUCCUGUUUUCUUUCUCCCCUUACACUGUCAAGGAAUUUUCUGGGACAAAAAAAUCUUGCUCAUGAAUCAUCAGGAGUAAGAGUUCAGAGCCCAGAAAUCAUCAUGAGGGCUUCGACUUAAAUCUCUGCAGGCAGACAUCUAUGUAAACUGCUGAAAGGAGCUCAAAAUAGCCACAUGCUUCUUCUCACAAUCCGAUUCCACACACAACUAUUUGUUUAUGAAUUGGAUCUACAGGAAGAACAGUACCUUGGCUCCUCUAAUUCACAGUUGAAAUGAUGCUAAGGGACCUUUCAACACAAGAAUGAGAAGAGGGGAGCAGCUAUGGAUCUAGUCCCCAGUCAUUGAUUUUCUUGUCUACACAAUGACUUAUGAAUGUGUGGGACCUGGGUGUAGGCCAUGAAGUUUCAAAUCAUCAUGCUCAGUAAGAAGGCAUCAAUA